CGAGUAGCGAUCCAUUGGCGUGGUUGCCCCACUUGGACUGGGGAUUAUUUGUAGGUUCGAUCCCUACCUAUUCGAC
This 76-nucleotide transfer RNA is filed under the name uncultured marine phage. Its description in RNAcentral is "tRNA-Pro". The record is from RNAcentral.